RNAcentral lists this ribosomal RNA (420 nucleotides) under Bacillus subtilis. Its description in RNAcentral is "bacterial SSU rRNA". It matches the Rfam family "Bacterial small subunit ribosomal RNA", at positions 514 to 933 of the family's 1533-position model. Lineage: Bacteria; Bacillati; Bacillota; Bacilli; Caryophanales; Bacillaceae. The record is from RNAcentral.
GCCGCGGUAAUACGUAGGUGGCAAGCGUUGUCCGGAUUUAUUGGGCGUAAAGCGAGCGCAGGCGGUUUUUUAAGUCUGAUGUGAAAGCCUUCGGCUCAACCGAAGAAGUGCAUCGGAAACUGGGAAACUUGAGUGCAGAAGAGGACAGUGGAACUCCAUGUGUAGCGGUGAAAUGCGUAGAUAUAUGGAAGAACACCAGUGGCGAAGGCGGCUGUCUGGUCUGUAACUGACGCUGAGGCUCGAAAGUAUGGGUAGCAAACAGGAUUAGAUACCCUGGUAGUCCAUACCGUAAACGAUGAAUGCUAAGUGUUGGAGGGUUUCCGCCCCUCAGUGCUGCAGCUAACGCAUUAAGCAUUCGCCCUGGGGAGUACGGCCGCAAGGCCUGGAUUAGAUACCCUGGUAGUCCAUACCGUAAAAGAU